This 1414-nucleotide ribosomal RNA is filed under the name Weissella confusa. Its description in RNAcentral is "bacterial SSU rRNA". It matches the Rfam family "Bacterial small subunit ribosomal RNA", at positions 62 to 1433 of the family's 1533-position model. Lineage: Bacteria; Bacillati; Bacillota; Bacilli; Lactobacillales; Lactobacillaceae. The record is from RNAcentral.
UCGACGCUUUGUGGUUCACUGAUUUGAAGAGCUUGCUCAGAUAUGACGAUGGACAUUGCAAAGAGUGGCGAACGGGUGAGUAACACGUGGGAAACCUACCUCUUAGCAGGGGAUAACAUUUGGAAACAGAUGCUAAUACCGUAUAACAAUGACAACCGCAUGGUUGUUAUUUAAAAGAUGGUUCUGCUAUCACUAAGAGAUGGUCCCGCGGUGCAUUAGCUAGUUGGUAAGGUAAUGGCUUACCAAGGCGAUGAUGCAUAGCCGAGUUGAGAGACUGAUCGGCCACAAUGGGACUGAGACACGGCCCAUACUCCUACGGGAGGCAGCAGUAGGGAAUCUUCCACAAUGGGCGAAAGCCUGAUGGAGCAACGCCGCGUGUGUGAUGAAGGGUUUCGGCUCGUAAAACACUGUUGUAAGAGAAGAAUGACAUUGAGAGUAACUGUUCAAUGUGUGACGGUAUCUUACCAGAAAGGAACGGCUAAAUACGUGCCAGCAGCCGCGGUAAUACGUAUGUUCCAAGCGUUAUCCGGAUUUAUUGGGCGUAAAGCGAGCGCAGACGGUUAUUUAAGUCUGAAGUGAAAGCCCUCAGCUCAACUGAGGAAUUGCUUUGGAAACUGGAUGACUUGAGUGCAGUAGAGGAAAGUGGAACUCCAUGUGUAGCGGUGAAAUGCGUAGAUAUAUGGAAGAACACCAGUGGCGAAGGCGGCUUUCUGGACUGUAACUGACGUUGAGGCUCGAAAGUGUGGGUAGCAAACAGGAUUAGAUACCCUGGUAGUCCACACCGUAAACGAUGAGUGCUAGGUGUUUGAGGGUUUCCGCCCUUAAGUGCCGCAGCUAACGCAUUAAGCACUCCGCCUGGGGAGUACGACCGCAAGGUUGAAACUCAAAGGAAUUGACGGGGACCCGCACAAGCGGUGGAGCAUGUGGUUUAAUUCGAAGCAACGCGAAGAACCUUACCAGGUCUUGACAUCCCUUGACAACUCCAGAGAUGGAGCGUUCCCUUCGGGGACAAGGUGACAGGUGGUGCAUGGUUGUCGUCAGCUCGUGUCGUGAGAUGUUGGGUUAAGUCCCGCAACGAGCGCAACCCUUAUUACUAGUUGCCAGCAUUCAGUUGGGCACUCUAGUGAGACUGCCGGUGACAAACCGGAGGAAGGUGGGGAUGACGUCAAAUCAUCAUGCCCCUUAUGACCUGGGCUACACACGUGCUACAAUGGCGUAUACAACGAGUUGCCAACCCGCGAGGGUGAGCUAAUCUCUUAAAGUACGUCUCAGUUCGGAUUGUAGGCUGCAACUCGCCUACAUGAAGUCGGAAUCGCUAGUAAUCGCGGAUCAGCACGCCGCGGUGAAUACGUUCCCGGGUCUUGUACACACCGCCCGUCACACCAUGAGAGUUUGUAACACCCAAAGCCGGUGG